This 504-nucleotide ribosomal RNA is filed under the name uncultured bacterium. RNAcentral describes it as "partial 16S ribosomal RNA". It matches the Rfam family "Bacterial small subunit ribosomal RNA", at positions 30 to 523 of the family's 1533-position model. The record is from RNAcentral.
AUUGAACGCUGGCGGUAUGCUUAACACAUGCAAGUCGAACGGUAACAGGCUCUAGCUUGCUAGAGUGCUGACGAGUGGCGGACGGGUGAGUAACGCGUAGGGAUCUGUCUAAUAGCUUGGGACAACACGGGGAAACUCGUGCUAAUACCAAAUACACUCUAAGGAGGAAAGGUGGGGGUUAAACCCUGUCGCUAAUAGGGGAACCUGCGUUGGAUUAGCUAGUUGGGGGGGUAAUGGCCUACCAAGGCGACGAUCCAUAGGUGUUCUGAGAGGAAGAUCAGCCAAACUGGCACUGAGACACGGCACAGACUCCUACGGGGGGGAGCGGGGGGGAAUAUCGGACAAUGGGCGGAAGCCUGAGACAGCAAUACCGCGUGUGUGAAAAAGGGCUGAGGGUUGUAAAGCACUUACGGCAAGGAGAAAGUAAAUGGAGUUAAUAGUUCUGUAUAUUGACGUUACUUGCAGAAGAAGCACCGGCUAACUCUGUGCCAGCAGCCGCCGUAA